This 253-nucleotide ribosomal RNA is filed under the name uncultured bacterium. RNAcentral's name for it is "partial 16S ribosomal RNA". It matches the Rfam family "Bacterial small subunit ribosomal RNA", at positions 524 to 776 of the family's 1533-position model. The record is from RNAcentral.
UACGGGGGGGGCAAGCGUUGUUCGGAAUUACUGGGCGUAAAGGGCUCGUAGGUGGCCAACUAAGUCAGACGUGAAAUCCCUCAGCUUAACUGGGGAACUGCGUCUGAUACUGGAUGGCUUGAGAUUGGGAGAGGGAUGCGGAAUUCCAGGUGUAGCGGUGAAAUGCGCAGAUAUCAGGAAGAACACCCGUGGCUAAGGCGGCUCUCUAGUACGGUACUGACGCUGAGACGCGAAAGCGUGGGGAGCGAACAGG